CCAACAACUCCGCCUGCAGCUCUUCGAGAGUUACUGCCGGUCCCAAGCCCGGGUAAAGGUGGAGAGUUGG
Molecule: non-coding RNA, 70 nt
Filed under: Schistosoma mansoni
Lineage: Eukaryota; Metazoa; Platyhelminthes; Trematoda; Strigeidida; Schistosomatidae
Source: RNAcentral